RNAcentral lists this long non-coding RNA (846 nucleotides) under Vulpes vulpes (red fox). RNAcentral's name for it is "lncRNA (ENSVVUG00000001238.1)". The record is from RNAcentral. Lineage: Eukaryota; Metazoa; Chordata; Mammalia; Carnivora; Canidae.
GGGACUGACUUUCACCGCCGCCACUCGUUUCUGAAUUUCACAGUGAUUCUGAUUUCCUGGGUCUCGCGCAAUUGCUUCAGUGCUGCUACGAAUCAUGUCAGCUGUGUUUAUUGGUUCAGGAUUCUUCCUUUUGACUCUGGUCUUCCUCCACAACAACACUCACUUCACAUCGGCUUGCACGUCUGCUCCCAAAUCAGGAGCUGGUGUGAGAACUUCAAAAGCACGGUGAUUUCCAGUAUUGGAUAAGUCAAGAAACACUUUUCUGCGAGGCCGGCCCAGGUGGAAUUGUUCAGUCAAAGACAAAAAGCAAGACAAUUUUGAAGAUGAAAAAUGAUAUGCAGGCCCAUGAGGACCAGUUUUCACAGGAUCACCUCAUACUUAGAAGAGUACAACUUCAAUAUGAAAUAAAGCAAAUCAACAUGCAGAUCAUCCUGGCUCUCUUUAAAGAUUGCCUCAAGCACGGGACUUUAGGGUCAGUGCCUGGCCAGCAGGGAGGAGUCUUGUCAGGCACAGACAUCAGGCCGCAGCGGGUGGCCCUGCUGCCUCCCUGGCCACUCUACAAUCCCUCUGAAAUAGAGUUAUCCUAGAAAGUGACAGAUUACCAGCCCUAGAGGCUACAGCCCAAUGCUGCCUCCAACAGACAGCCAAGAACACGCAGAGGUAAAGGAAGCCACAGCACCUAAUCUAUGACCCAGAGAAGCUACUCCAGGGAAAAGGAGCAGCCACAUUUCAAUUGGAUCAAUAUUUGGUCUUUGUUUUCAAAUCUGCCCUCAGGCUACAAUAGUUACACUCAUCUUUACUACUGUGUGGGCUUUGGUGGAAUAAAAAGUGUGGCCAUUUCCUACA